This 475-nucleotide ribosomal RNA is filed under the name uncultured bacterium. RNAcentral's name for it is "SSU rRNA". It matches the Rfam family "Bacterial small subunit ribosomal RNA", at positions 26 to 518 of the family's 1533-position model. The record is from RNAcentral.
AGGACGAACGCUGGCGGCGUGCUUAACACAUGCAAGUCGAGCGGAAAGGCCCUUCGGGGUACUCGAGCGGCGAACGGGUGAGUAACACGUGAGUAAUCUGCCCCUAGCUCUGGGAUAGCUCCGGGAAACCGGGAUUAAUACCAGAUACGACCACUUUAGACAUCUGUUGUGGUGGAAAGAAUUUUGGCUAGGGAUGAGCUCGCGGCCUAUCAGCUUGUUGGUGAGGUAACGGCUCACCAAGGCGACGACGGGUAGCCGGCCUGAGAGGGCGACCGGCCACGACUGGGACUGAGACACGGCCCAGACUCCUACGGGAGGCAGCAGUGGGGAAUAUUGCGCAAUGGGCGAAAGCCUGACGCAGCGACGCCGCGUGGGGGAUGAAGGCCUUCGGGUUGUAAACCCCUUUCAGCAGGGACGAAGCGAAAGUGACGGUACCUGCAGAAGAAGCGCCGGCUAACUACGUGCCAGCAGCCGC